RNAcentral lists this transfer RNA (77 nucleotides) under Chitinophagaceae bacterium. Its description in RNAcentral is "tRNA-Pro". It matches the Rfam family "tRNA". From Rfam's summary of the family: Transfer RNA (tRNA) molecules are approximately 80 nucleotides in length. Their secondary structure includes four short double-helical elements and three loops (D, anti-codon, and T loops). RNAcentral also lists the same sequence under 3 other names. Lineage: Bacteria; Pseudomonadati; Bacteroidota; Chitinophagia; Chitinophagales; Chitinophagaceae. The record is from RNAcentral.
CGGGAGGUAGUUCAGCCCGGUAGAAUACCUGGUUUGGGACCAGGGGGUCGCAGGUUCGAAUCCUGUCCUCCCGACCA